This 352-nucleotide transfer-messenger RNA is filed under the name Nevskiaceae bacterium. It matches the Rfam family "transfer-messenger RNA". From Rfam's summary of the family: Bacterial tmRNA, also known as 10Sa RNA or SsrA, is named for its dual tRNA and mRNA-like properties. Its role is to liberate the mRNA from a stalled ribosome. The record is from RNAcentral. Lineage: Bacteria; Pseudomonadati; Pseudomonadota; Gammaproteobacteria; Nevskiales; Nevskiaceae.
GGGGGCGACCGGUUUCGACGUGGGUUGUGAACCUUCAGGGGCGUACCGAGGCGCAGUGCCCUCGUAAAUAAUGCUGCAAAUCAUAGUUGCCAACGACGACAACUACGCUCUAGCUGCCUAAUCGCAGCUGACCUCUGACCAGCUCGUGCCUAUGCGACUGAAUCAGGGGUAGCGCUCAUAGGAUCGCGUUCCAGCGUGCGACGGGCUGGAACGUUAAGAGUUACCGUGGCUGGCGAAGCGUUUUCCCUGCUUCUCGGGUAGCGUGACGCGAGAAACUAAAGAGACAGCUAUGUACGUAGAUCCUGCAGUCUAGCGCUUGCGGACGGGGGUUCGAUUCCCCCCGCCUCCACCA